AACGAACGCUGGCGGCAGGCCUAACACAUGCAAGUCGAGCGCGCCCUUCGGGGUUAGCGGCGGACGGGUGAGUAACGCGUGGGAACGUGCCCUUUUCUACGGAAUAGCCUCGGGAAACUGAGAGUAAUACCGUAUAAGCCCUUUGGGGGUAAGAUUUAUCGGAAAAGGAUCGGCCCGCGUUGGAUUAGGUAGUUGGUGGCGUAAUGGCCUACCAAGCCGACGAUCCAUAGCUGGUAUGAGAGGAUGAUCAGCCACACUGGGACUGAGACACGGCCCAGACUCCUACGGGAGGCAGCAGUGGGGAAUCUUAGACAAUGGGGGCAACCCUGAUCUAGCCAGGCCGCGUGAGUGAUGAAGGCCUUAGGGUUGUAAAGCUCUUUCAGCUGGGAAGAUAAUGACGGUACCAGCAGAAGAAGCCCCGGCUAACUCCGUG
Molecule: ribosomal RNA, 433 nt
Filed under: uncultured bacterium
Lineage: Bacteria
Description: partial 16S ribosomal RNA
Rfam family: Bacterial small subunit ribosomal RNA
Source: RNAcentral